CUGGCCAGAGACUCUCAAAGUCAUCAUUCUAUGAGAUCACAUAGGAUAUUCUCUUCUCCUACAAGGAUUGAUCGAUUCCUUAUUGACCACUCACAACCUCCAUGCACACUUCACCAUACCUAGAAUAUCCUACACAUAUCUCAAAGUUGUGUGUUAGAGAAUAAACUAAAGUAAAGGUCCAUGUAUUCAAGGUACUAUGGUGAUCUCAGGUCAAAGGAUCACAUGCACCACUCUCACUAAAGAACCAUCUGUUGACAUGCUGUAAGGCUCCAUCAGAUAUUUUUUUGGCAGGUUAGUUCAGUUAACUCAUUCUCUAAUGAGCACCUACAUCUUUGUAUUAGUGUCACCACACAAGUGGUUGUGAGAUUAAUCAUCCGCUCCAUCGAGCAUACAUAGAAUGUACCAGUCUUAUCAAAAUCAUCGAUCUUUGACUC
This 434-nucleotide long non-coding RNA is filed under the name Elaeis guineensis (African oil palm). Its description in RNAcentral is "long non-coding RNA (EGUI_LNC048026)". The record is from RNAcentral. Lineage: Eukaryota; Viridiplantae; Streptophyta; Magnoliopsida; Arecales; Arecaceae.